AUGCUGUCCAGCUCCAAAGCCGGCGGCAAUGGCGACGGGGAGCACCUGGUUUGCGUGACGGGGGCAGGGAGCUUCAUCGGGUCGUGGGUGGUGAAGGAGCUCCUCCUCCGUGGCUACCAUGUCCGGGGAACCGCCAGGGAUCCCGCUCACCGCAAGAAUGCGCAUUUGCUGGCAAUGGAUGGAGCCGGGGAGAGGCUCAACCUGUGCCGCGCCGACGUCAUGGACGGCAACAGCCUCCGCGCCGCGUUCCAUGGCUGCCGCGGCGUGUUCCACGUCGCCUCCCCGGUCUCCAACGACCCUGAGCUCGUGCCUGAGGCCGUGGAGGGGACGAGGAACGUGAUCAACGCGGCGGCUGACGCGGGUGUGGGGCCUGUGGUCUUCACUUCCUCCUACGGCGCCGUGCACAUGGACCCCAACCGAAGCCCGGACACCAUCGUUGACGAGACGUCCUGGAGCGACUACGGCUACUGCAAACAAACCGGCAACCUGCACUGCUGCGCGAAGAUGAUGGCGGAGGUAGCGGCGACGGAGGAGGCGGCUAGGAGAGGGCUGGAGCUGGCGGUGGUGGUGGUGGUGCCGGCGACGACCAUCGGUCCCGCGCUGCAGCAGACGCUCAACUUCAGCAGCGACCACGUCGCCCGCUGCCUGACGGGCGCCAAGCCGGCCUACCAGAACACCGUCACCGCCUACGUCGAUGUCCAGGACGUCGCCCGCGCGCACGCCCUCGUCUACGAGCACCCCGACGCCUGCGGCCAUCGCUACCUCUGCGUCGCCGCCGUGCUGCACCGCGCACACUUCCUCCGGCUCCUCCGAGACCUCUUCCCGCAGUACCCCGUCACCGCCAAGUGCGAGGACGACGGCAAGCCCAGGGUGAGGGAGUACAGGUUCUCGAAUCAGAAGCUCGGAGAUCUGGGCUUGGAGUUCACUGACGUGAGGAGAAGCUUGUACAAGACGGUGAUAUGCCUGCAACACAGGGGGCAUGUCCCCAUCAUCGUGCCACGUCAACGUGCAUCUCUACUUCUAAUGGAGCAGUUGGUAGUCUCGCUUCCAGGUUUUUUUUCGUCCCACCACUUUCGUCCGGUUUUUUUUCGUAGGUUAACCAUCGUAGAUUUUUUUCGAUGCUGGUUUCUUAUUCAUCGGUUUAUUUACCCCUCAGCUCUUUCCUUACAAAUCAGCACUUUCCAAACGUGCACGCAAUCACGGAUCUAA
This 1209-nucleotide ribosomal RNA is filed under the name Triticum aestivum (bread wheat). Its description in RNAcentral is "partial small subunit ribosomal RNA". The record is from RNAcentral. Lineage: Eukaryota; Viridiplantae; Streptophyta; Magnoliopsida; Poales; Poaceae.